Molecule: unclassified non-coding RNA, 226 nt
Filed under: uncultured fungus
Lineage: Eukaryota; Fungi
Description: partial contains 18S rRNA, ITS1, 5.8S rRNA, ITS2 and 28S rRNA
Source: RNAcentral
AAGGAUCAUUACCGAGUUAGGGUCCUCUGGGCUCGACCUCCAACCCUUUGUCUACCUUACCUUACGUUGCUUCGGCGGGUCCGUCCUGAAAAGGACCGCCGGAGGGUGGUUUCACCCUCUGGCCCGUACCCGCCGGUGGCCUCCAACCAAACUCUCGUCAAAAACGUGUCGUCUGAAGUACAAAACAAAUAAAUAAAAACUUUCAACAACGGAUCUCUUGGUUCUG